This 680-nucleotide ribosomal RNA is filed under the name uncultured Gammaproteobacteria bacterium. Its description in RNAcentral is "bacterial SSU rRNA". It matches the Rfam family "Bacterial small subunit ribosomal RNA", at positions 82 to 758 of the family's 1533-position model. The record is from RNAcentral. Lineage: Bacteria; Pseudomonadati; Pseudomonadota; Gammaproteobacteria.
CGGACUGAGUACAGCGGCGGACGGGUGAGUAACGCGUAGGAAUCUACCCGGUAGUGGGGGACAACAUGGGGAAACUCAUGCUAAUACCGCAUACGCCCUAUGGGGGAAAGCGGGGGACCUUCGGGCCUCGCGCUAUCGGAAGAGCCUGCGUUGGAUUAGCUUGUUGGUGAGGUAAAGGCUCACCAAGGCGACGAUCCAUAGCUGGUCUGAGAGGAUGAUCAGCCACACUGGGACUGAGACACGGCCCAGACUCCUACGGGAGGCAGCAGUGGGGAAUAUUGCGCAAUGGGCGGAAGCCUGACGCAGCCAUGCCGCGUGUGUGAAGAAGGCCUUCGGGUUGUAAAGCACUUUCAAUUGGGAAGAAAGGUUGCCGGUUAAUACCCGGUAGCUGUGACAUUACCUUUAGAAGAAGCACCGGCUAACUCCGUGCCAGCAGCCGCGGUAAUACGGAGGGUGCGAGCGUUAAUCGGAAUUACUGGGCGUAAAGCGCGCGUAGGCGGUUUGUUAAGUUGGAUGUGAAAGCCCCGGGCUCAACCUGGGAAUUGCACCCGAUACUGGCCGACUAGAGUACGAGAGAGGGAGGUAGAAUUCCACGUGUAGCGGUGAAAUGCGUAGAUAUGUGGAGGAAUACCGGUGGCGAAGGCGGCCUCCUGGCUCGAUACUGACGCUGAGGUGCGAAA